RNAcentral lists this transfer RNA (71 nucleotides) under Ictidomys tridecemlineatus (thirteen-lined ground squirrel). RNAcentral's name for it is "Spermophilus tridecemlineatus (thirteen-lined ground squirrel) tRNA". It matches the Rfam family "tRNA". Rfam says of the family: Transfer RNA (tRNA) molecules are approximately 80 nucleotides in length. Their secondary structure includes four short double-helical elements and three loops (D, anti-codon, and T loops). Further hydrogen bonds mediate the characteristic L-shaped molecular structure. tRNAs have two regions of fundamental functional importance: the anti-codon, which is responsible for specific mRNA codon recognition, and the 3' end, to which the tRNAs corresponding amino acid is attached (by aminoacyl-tRNA synthetases). tRNAs cope with the degeneracy of the genetic code in two manners: having more than one tRNA (with a specific anti-codon) for a particular amino acid; and 'wobble' base-pairing, i.e. permitting non-standard base-pairing at the 3rd anti-codon position. Lineage: Eukaryota; Metazoa; Chordata; Mammalia; Rodentia; Sciuridae. The record is from Rfam by way of RNAcentral.
AGUGAUAUAACUCAGUGGUAGAGUACUUGCCUAGCAUGUGCCAGACCUAGGUUCAAUCUCUGAUAUUAUUA